RNAcentral lists this unclassified non-coding RNA (361 nucleotides) under uncultured fungus. RNAcentral's name for it is "partial contains 5.8S ribosomal RNA and internal transcribed spacer 2". The stretch from base 1 to 133 matches the Rfam family "5.8S ribosomal RNA", at positions 22 to 154 of the family's 154-position model. The record is from RNAcentral. Lineage: Eukaryota; Fungi.
UGGCUCUCGCAUCGAUGAAGAACGCAGCGAAAUGCGAUAAGUAAUGUGAAUUGCAGAAUUCAGUGAAUCAUCGAAUCUUUGAACGCACCUUGCGCUCCUUGGUAUUCCGAGGAGCAUGCCUGUUUGAGUGUCGUGAAAUCAUCAACCUGUAAGCCUUUGUGGCUUGUAGGCUUGGACUUGGAGGCUUGCUGGCCCUAGUGGUUGGCUCCUCUUAAAUGCAUUAGCUUGAUUCCUUGCGGAUCGGCUCUCGGUGUGAUAAUUGUCUACGCCGUGACCGUGAAGCGUUUGGCAGGCUUCUAACCGUCUCUUUAGAGACAGCUUUAUGACCUCUGACCUCAAAUCAGGUAGGACUACCCGCUGA